Molecule: ribosomal RNA, 253 nt
Filed under: uncultured bacterium
Lineage: Bacteria
Description: partial 16S ribosomal RNA
Rfam family: Bacterial small subunit ribosomal RNA
Source: RNAcentral
UACAGAGGGUGCAAGCGUUGCUCGGAAUUAUUGGGCGUAAAGGGUAGGUAGGUGGUCUCAUUUGUCGGGGGUGAAAGCCUUGGGCUUAACCCAAGAAGUGCCUUCGAAACGGUGAGACUGGAGUCCUGGAGAGGGUCGUGGAAUUCCCGGUGUAGCGGUGAAAUGCGCAGAUAUCGGGAGGAACACCAAUGGCGAAGGCAGCUCGCUGGGACGUUACUGACGCUGAGACGCGAAAGCGUGGGGAGCAAACAGG